RNAcentral lists this long non-coding RNA (446 nucleotides) under Anas platyrhynchos (mallard). RNAcentral's name for it is "lncRNA (ENSAPLG00020011181.1)". The record is from RNAcentral. Lineage: Eukaryota; Metazoa; Chordata; Aves; Anseriformes; Anatidae.
AUGUGCAAAGGCAGGACUACAUCCCACCGUGAAAUGAGCUGUGGUAAAGCUCCCAGGAAUGCUUCCUCUGAAGGCCCCAGUGCUGCAGCAAGAGGAGCAGUACGCCCAGGCAUUGUCAUGGCUCCGGUUUGCUGGACUGUCAUCUUGCCCCUCAGCAGCAGCAAAACUUCUGCUAUGAAAUCGUGCAGGAUGAAAUGUUGCCAGCCUGCGCUGACGGUCACCUAUCUGCAGGCAUUACACAACUCAUCCCAGCCCCACGCCAGGUUCGUGCAGAGGCAGCCUUGUGCCCUUUGAGCUGCCAGUGGCACAGGGAAAGCAGCCACCCGCACCGUGUGCCAGCCGGGGAGGCAGCGCUGCCUUCUGGGGCGUAGCUGCGAGGUAAAGCUUGUGCCUAUUGUUUGUCCUCUGUUGUGCUGCAACUCCUAGAGCUAUUAUUCAUACGGCCA